CCUACGGGAGGCAGCAGUAGGGAAUAUUGCUCCAUGGGGGAAACCCUGAAGCAGCAACGCCGCGUGGAGGAUGAAGGUUUUAGGAUUGUAAACUCCUUUUGUGAGAGAAGAUAAUGACGGUAUCUCACGAAUAAGCACCGGCUAACUCCGUGCCAGCAGCCGCGGUAAUACGGAGGGUGCAAGCGUUACUCGGAAGCACUGGGCGUAAAGAGUGCGCAGGCGGGCUUGUAAGUCAGAUGUGAAAUCCUGUAGCUUAACUACAGAACUGCAUUUGAAACUAUGAGUCUAGAGUGUGGGAGAGGUAGGUGGAAUUCUUGGUGUAGGGGUAAAAUGCGUAGAUAUCAAGAGGAAUACUCAUUGCGAAGGCGACCUACUGGAACAUUACUGACGCUCAUGCGCGAAAGCGUGGGGAGCAAACAGGAUUAGAUACCCUAGUAGUC
This 440-nucleotide ribosomal RNA is filed under the name uncultured bacterium. Its description in RNAcentral is "partial 16S ribosomal RNA". It matches the Rfam family "Bacterial small subunit ribosomal RNA", at positions 338 to 795 of the family's 1533-position model. The record is from RNAcentral.